Molecule: non-coding RNA, 103 nt
Organism: Xylariaceae sp. FL0804
Lineage: Eukaryota; Fungi; Ascomycota; Sordariomycetes; Xylariales; Xylariaceae
Source: the annotation of a GenBank genome assembly
GCCCGCGUGGCGCAGUGGUAGCGCUCUGUUCUUAUAUGUGUUGGGGCAACUCAACAAUACUAUGGUAAUGCAGCUGUCGUGAGUUCAAUCCUCACCGUGGGCA